CCUACGGGAGGCUGCAGUGGGGGAUAUUGGACAAUGGGGGGAACCCUGAUCCAGCGACGCCGCGUGAGUGAAGAAGUAUUUCGGUAUGUAAAGCUCUGUCAGCAGGGAAGAAAGCAAUGACGGUACCUGACCAAGAAGCCCCGGCUAACUACGUGCCAGCAGCCGCGGUAAUACGUAGGGGGCAAGCGUUAUCCGGAUUUACUGGGUGUAAAGGGAGCGUAGACGGCAGCGCAAGUCUGGAGUGAAAUGCCGGGGCCCAACCCCGGAACUGCUCUGGAAACUGUGAAGCUGGAGUGCAGGAGAGGUAAGCGGAAUUCCUGGUGUAGCGGUGAAAUGCGUAGAUAUCAGGAGGAACACCGGCGGCGAAGGCGGCUUACUGGACUGUAACUGACGUUGAGGCUCGAAGGCGUGGGGAGCAAACAGGAUUAGAUACCCCUGUAGUC
This 443-nucleotide ribosomal RNA is filed under the name uncultured bacterium. RNAcentral's name for it is "partial 16S ribosomal RNA". It matches the Rfam family "Bacterial small subunit ribosomal RNA", at positions 338 to 795 of the family's 1533-position model. The record is from RNAcentral.